AGACAAUUUUCAAAAAUGGGAUUUGUGGAUGACAAGCGGAUUGCAAUUUGGGGCUGGUCAUAUGGAGGGUACGUAACCUCAAUGGUCCUGGGAGCCGGCAGUGGCGUGUUCAAGUGCGGGAUAGCCGUGGCACCUGUCUCACGGUGGGAGUACUAUGACUCAGUGUAUACAGAACGUUACAUGGGUCUCCCAACUCCAGAAGACAACCUUGACCAUUACAGG
This is a non-coding RNA of Leptonychotes weddellii (Weddell seal), 222 nucleotides long. Lineage: Eukaryota; Metazoa; Chordata; Mammalia; Carnivora; Phocidae. The record is from RefSeq and is a predicted model, not a curated record.